This 482-nucleotide ribosomal RNA is filed under the name uncultured bacterium. Its description in RNAcentral is "partial 16S ribosomal RNA". It matches the Rfam family "Bacterial small subunit ribosomal RNA", at positions 30 to 507 of the family's 1533-position model. The record is from RNAcentral.
AUUGAACGCUGGCGGCAUGCUUUACACAUGCAAGUCGAACGGUAACAGGCCGCAAGGUGCUGACGAGUGGCGAACGGGUGAGUAAUGCAUCGGAACGUGCCCAGUCGUGGGGGAUAACUACUCGAAAGAGUAGCUAAUACCGCAUACGAUCUAUGGAUGAAAGCGGGGGACCGUAAGGCCUCGCGCGAUUGGAGCGGCCGAUGUCAGAUUAGGUAGUUGGUGGGGUAAAGGCUCACCAAGCCAACGAUCUGUAGCUGGUCUGAGAGGACAACCAGCCACACUGGGACUGAGACACGGCCCAGACUCCUACGGGAGGCAGCAGUGGGGAAUUUUGGACAAUGGGCGCAAGCCUGAUCCAGCAAUGCCGCGUGCAGGAAGAAGGCCUUCGGGUUGUAAACUGCUUUUGUACGGAACGAAACGGCUCUGGUUAAUACCCGGGGCUAAUGACGGUACCGUAAGAAUAAGCACCGGCUAUCUACGUG